RNAcentral lists this ribosomal RNA (245 nucleotides) under uncultured bacterium. Its description in RNAcentral is "partial 16S ribosomal RNA". It matches the Rfam family "Bacterial small subunit ribosomal RNA", at positions 524 to 768 of the family's 1533-position model. The record is from RNAcentral.
UACGUAGGAUCCAAGCGUUGUCCGGAUUUACUGGGUGUAAAGGGUGCGUAGGCGGACUUGUGCGUCAGAGGUAAAAUCUCCCGGCUUAACCGGGAACCUGCCUUUGAUACGGCAAGUCUUGAGUGCGAGAGAGGACGGUAGAAUUCCUGGUGUAGCAGUGAAAUGCGUAGAUAUCAGGAGGAAUACCAGUGGCGAAGGCGGCCGUCUGGCUCGCAACUGACGCUGAGGCACGAAAGCGUGGGGAG